RNAcentral lists this ribosomal RNA (460 nucleotides) under uncultured bacterium. RNAcentral's name for it is "partial 16S ribosomal RNA". It matches the Rfam family "Bacterial small subunit ribosomal RNA", at positions 338 to 795 of the family's 1533-position model. The record is from RNAcentral.
CCUACGGGAGGCAGCAGUGAGGAAUAUUGGUCAAUGACCGUAAGGCUGAACCAGCCAAGUAGCGUGAGGGAAGACUGCCCUAUGGGUUGUAAACCUCUUUUAUGCGGGGAUAAAGGUGUCCACGUGUGGAUGUUUGCAGGUACCGCAUGAAUAAGGACCGGCUAAUUCCGUGCCAGCAGCCGCGGUAAUACGGAAGGUCCGGGCGUUAUCCGGAUUUAUUGGGUUUAAAGGGAGCGUAGGCCGGACUUUAAGUGUGCCGUGAAAUCUUGUGGCUCAACCAUGAGAGUGCGGCGUGAACUGGAUACCGUGAGUGCGCGGGAGGCAGGCGGAAUUCGUGGUGUAGCAGUGAAAUGCGUAGAUAUCGCGAAGAACACUGAUGGCGAAGGCAGGCUGCCGAAGCGUUACUGACGCUGAAGCUCGAAAGCGCGGGUAUCGAACAGGAUUAGAUACCCCAGUAGUC